RNAcentral lists this long non-coding RNA (36341 nucleotides) under Phoenix dactylifera (date palm). RNAcentral describes it as "long non-coding RNA (PDAC_LNC008374)". Lineage: Eukaryota; Viridiplantae; Streptophyta; Magnoliopsida; Arecales; Arecaceae. The record is from RNAcentral.
AAUAUAUUUGAAUAUUUUAUAUAAUUAUAAUGUAUUCUUGUAUUAGCGUGAUGACUUUCGUAUUUUUAGUUUCUAAAGUAUUUUUUUUCUUGUAGGUUGCUGAUACUUUAUCUACUCGUAGAGAUGAUGCCGUCGACUCUUGAUACAUCGUAGAUUGUGUACUUAGAAAUUUGAGAUGGAUGUUUUUAGAAUGUUUUUGAAGUACAAUGUAAUCAAAUGUGAUAAUAUUGAGAUUUUGAAUGAAAAGUUCUUGUCUGUGUUGUGUAUUUUGUUAUCUAUGUGAUUUAGUGUAUGUGUUUUGUUAGAAAUUAAUGUAUACAGAGAAUUAAAAAUUGCAUUUACAAAUUUUUUUUUAAAAAAAAUGCCAUUGCCGACGCUAUUUAGCGUCGGAAAUACGAACUGACACGGAAUGUGAACGCCAUUAACAACGCUUUAUUGCGUCGGUAAAGUAGAUUAGGCCGACGCUUUUAAGCGUCGGCAUAGCCCAAUGAAAACUACGGUGUGAAGCGUCGAUUGAGGUACGCCGACGCUUUUAAGCGUCGGAGUCUUAUAAAAGGAACGACGCUUAAUAGCGUCGGAAUAGACCGACGACGCUUUUUUGACGCGUCGGGUUAAACCCGACCCACGCCGACCUGCCCGACGUCUGACCCACGCUUUGUGAAGCGUGGGCUGGGAAUUCGCCGACACUUAUAAGCGUCGGUAGAGACAAAAAAAACCGCCGGGAGUUAUUCCUUCUUUUGUAGUGAAAGUAGUAUAUUUCAGAGUGGUUUAUGUUUGGUUGAGUAUCUAUUUUUCUAAAAAAAUUAUGUAAAAUAUAUGUUAUACUCUUAAUAAGGAAAAGACCUUAUCUCAUUGUAUCUAGCAGCUUAAAGGUAUUUUUGGGGAAAAAAAAAUAUUUAACCCAAUUUCCAGUCGAUGGGAAUUGGACUUUUCCUAUAUCCCAUAUAGGUCUUUCUUUUCUGUGCGAAGGCUACUUUUCCAUCUUUCUUCUUUGAAAAUUCCGACCAAACAUACAACAUUUCUUUAUUUUUUUGUUAACCAUACUUUCCCCUCUUUAUCUUCCCAUGAACCAAAUGAGUCUUGAUACUAUAAUCCAAACUUGAUUUCCGGGGGCCAACAACUGGAGGCUCGAAAACUACAUGCCUAGAAAUCUGAACAAACUUGAGGGGGAGCUCUAAAUAGUCCAUGUAAAUUUACCAUAGGACCUCAUAAAGCUUAAGCCAUUAGGGAAGGAUCAACACUAUAUAUCACACCUUCACAAUCAAGGGUAAUAAUUGGUGGAUAUCUUCAUGGAGGAAUAUGGGUGAUGGAGUUGACAACAGCAGGAGGCUCAUAUGGAGCCUCAUAUGGUGGCAGCAGCAGGCAUAGUAACAAGGAAUAGAGAUGGAGCAACAAGGAGUAGAGAUACGUAAUAUCCAGUGGCUUUGAAUCAAAGGUAACCAAAAUAUUCCAGAGAGCCUCCAGCACUAUGGGAGAUGGAGUUCACAGUAAGCACCAAAUUGAACAGUUCUGUUCUUUGAUAUUAAUAGUUUUCCACUCUGUUCCUACUCAUUUGAUUACUAUAUUAUCAUUUAAUUGCUAUUUUUUGUCAGUGGGAAUAUUAUUUUGGUCCUAAUUUCCUUUGUCAUUUAUUUUUUCAAUCACCAAAAGGUUUUGCUUUCCUAAAGAACCCUAGCAUUUGGCGGGCCAGCUCGAUUAUGUUGGAGGGUGACUCGGCCACUGUCAUCGGGUGGAUUUAGAGGGGGUUGAGGGGUGAGGGCACUGACCACCCCUUGAUCCGCGAUAUCGUGGUGAUGAUGAGAGAUGGAAUGGCCAUCCAGGCCAAGCAUGUAUUUAGGGAGGCCAACGGGGCAGCCAAUUGGGUAGCUGCCUACGUGGCCCACCAUUCGGGGUAUGCCCUUUGGUCGGGGACGGGGGAGUUGCCUUUGGCACUCCGUGAGUUACUGUAUUUUGAUCUUAUUGGGUGUAUUCACACACGUACUGUAUGAUGCAGCUGUUUUAAGACAAAAAAAAAAGAACCCUAGCAUUUUAAUUAUGACAAACAGCUCAAAAUUCUGGAACAAUUCCACUCAAACCAGAUCAUUCCCAGAUGCUGAACUUGUGACCAUGCGGGCAGUCUGCUUCAUUCAAAGGGUUCAACUAGCAAUACCUGUGGAAUAUCCAAAUGGGAACUCUGCGGCUUAGAUCUGUUGCCUAUCAGCAAAUGGCUAGAGAUUUGAGAUUUGGUACUUAAACAUUGCAUGUUUAGUAGUAUGCCUAAGUUUUCAAUUUGCACAGCACUGUUUGCAUCAUAAUGAUCAGGCCAUUUGUAAAAUCAGUCAUCUUGCAAUCUUAAACUUUCACUUCAGGAACAUAAAAAAUAACCGGGCUAAGUGCAAAUAAUCUUCAUUACCUUAAUAUAUCCGUCAAUGGUCGUUCAUAGUCUUCCCAUCUUCUAGGAGGAUAAUUUGUAAGUUCAGAAUUUCACCAAUUGCAAAUCAACUUGCACCAUUCGAAUCAAUACUGAAGAAAAAAGUUGAGCAACCUAAUUUAUAGAAAGUAAAUCUUACAUGAAAACUAAAGACCUCAUAUCCUUCAAAAGGCCUUUAAAGCAACUUGGAAUUCCUAUUGGCUUUAUAAUGUAUUUGAUGCUAUUCAGUAAGCUGAUAUAUAACAAGGCCAAACAAAAUACAUGCCAAGUGGCAAAAUGAUCUGAGAAUCAUCUUCACAUCAGACACAUCAGGCUACACAAGAUAAUGCUGAAACUGUAUUGGUUAUUGUAAAUUUAUCAACCAGGACAUCAAAAUGAAGCCAACUGAGUGCAGCCUGAGAUCACAUAAAUUACAUCUCCGAACUAGUACAAACUAUCUCCACAGCAAAUGCUUCAAUUAGGACGAUUUCUGACAUAAAUUGAGGCAAGGAUGUUGCUAUACAUGCCCUGCACCACCCGUACGUAUUCUUAACACCUCAGUACGUUUACUUCUUUCCAUGACCUCCACUAACCACUCGAUAGCAAAUUUAACCCCCGUCCUGCAAACAAGAAAAUAUGGUGAUUAUGGAUCACCGAAUAAGGCAAUACAGAAUGAUUUAACGUUCAAAGAAUAAAAAUCAAUCUUAUAGAACACAGCUGAUGUUCCAUGGGUGUAAGGAUGCCCAAAUAUCAUAUCUGUAGUUGGAUAUCCCAUAGGGAGAUCCACUUCGGAAUGGUCUACUGCAAAGAGUGGCUGAUGACCUAGAUGCCUAACUUGAAAAUGGACUUCCUAAGCAUAUCCAUAUACAAGAUGCCGCAUGCACUUGAGUCGUGACUUGCAGCAUCGCAAAUCCAUGACUUCUCAGUACUCAUAUACCUUUUCCUUGCUACACUACUCUUGUUGAAUGCAAGGCUCAAAGUCAUGCAUUCCAACCAUCCGAGGAUAUUGUUCAGAUAGGGUAUAUAUGCAUCCAAACCUAUAAUAUUAUCUACAUAUUCUCUUUCAAUUGAUUUUCAUAAUGUACUCUCCUAGAUAAUAUCAACAUAGCCAUUAUUCAGGCAGUUUACAAGAAGAGGCAUGUUAAUAGGGUUUUUUGCCCCUUCAUCUGUACAUAGUACAAGUUUUGACAAUGUGGAUAGGUAAGGGAGCUGGGGUUGAUCUACUCACCCAUCAUAUGCAGAUACAGCUUGAAACAUGUACAGCCUUUCAUCCAACUCUUUGAGAUCCAAAUACCUUGCCAGUUCUUCAACAGACACAGCUCCAGGAAGAUCCUGCCACUAUUUAUAUUUAGAACAAGAAACCUGAAGCAUUAAUUCUGAUACUAUAAAUUAACUUUCUACUGAUUCUAUAAAUUAACUUUCUACUGAUCCUUUCAGAAAUUAAAGUUACACAAUAUUUGAGCAAGUAUUACCUAGAACAAACCACUGUUCCUGCCCCCCGACCUUGAAAUAAUUUGGUGCUCACACCUUAAGGGGAAAAAUUCCAUAGAAGUUCUUUGUUUUUUACUUUCCCCAAUAAUUUAACAAUUACUUCUGUUUACAAUCUCAAUACCACAAAAGCAAGACAUUCAUCCUCUCACGACCAUACCUUUUGGAUGUCAAAAUUCUUUCUUUAAGCAUUUUCAAGUGACGAUAUAUCCAAUUCAUUCGUUCCCUAAAUAUGACAAUCUUCUUCGCUCUUUACAUAGGUUUCUUAACCCCCCAGUCAGCACAAAAACUUGAUUGUCCCAAUUGAUAGAUGUGCUGAAUCUGGAAAAGUUGAAACAAGAACUUUACCUUCAUCAAAUCAAGUAAUUAUUCCCACAUCUGAAUAUCAAACAUUGUUUUUUUCCAAAAUUGAAACUAGUUAUGAAUGUUAGUACCCAGUCAGCACAAGAACUUGAUUGCCCACAUUGUGGACCAUUUGAUAGAUGUGCUGAAUCUGGAAAAGUUGAAACAAGAACUUUACCUUCAGAAUAUCAAGUAAUUAUUCCCGCAUCUGAAUAUCAAACAUUGUUUUUCUGAACUUGAAACUAAUCAUGAAUAUUAGUACUGCCAGUGUAGAUUUUUCAUUAGCUGUUUAAUGUGCUGACAUGUUAGAUGCAGCUAUGGUUGCCAUGGCUGCAGCUUUUUUUAUUAGAAGCAUGCCUAUUGGAAUUGCAAUUUCAGAUGGAAUGCUAUUUUUUAUUUUUUCAAUAUUUUUUUAUGGUUUCUGUUACAAAAAAGAAAGACAAAGAUUCAAUUAGACAACAUUCCAAAUUAAAGGUAAAUAACAGCCACUAUUUAAUAAUUCAACCAGUUGUGGCUUACUUGGGAACAAAAUAGUGACUUAUAUGAUAGUCAUUAUUUUCCAUUAAAUGGGAAUCAACUAAAAAUGCAAAAAGAUAAAGGGGCUAUUUCCUCAAAUCACUUUCACUGAAUGGAAUAUAUUUUCCAGCUGACAUAAGAAUUUCAAUUUACAGUAAUCAGGUAAACAGUGAAUAUUUCAAAUAAUGAAUUUUAUUUUCAUUAGACGACAGGCAGUUAUAAUGGAGUAGUGGUCAAAUAUGGAUUGUCAUUUAAAUUCCUAUUAUCUAGAUAACAAAUGGCCUUCAAAAUUGCUAUGAUGACCAUAAUAACAUUGUAAAGGACAUUUUUUUUAACCCUAAAAAGAAGUGAUUUAUCAGCACAUAUUAUCUAGGUCCCACCCUUUAAUUAGUCAGUUUCCAGAAGUGCUAUUCAUUAAUUCCAUGUAAGCAAGAAUCUUUCUAAAUUGGCCUUCCUUAGAUGGCCAUAUUUUCCAACGCUUACAUAUGUAUAACCCAUCAAAACGCUAAUACCUGGAUCUCUUAUAAGAAAACUCACUAAAGAAAAAAAAUCUUUUCAACCUCCGCCAGGCUGUCCUAGAAGAUUCUCUUCAUGAUUAGACCAAUUGAAACAUCCCAAAACUGCAGCCACCUGUUGAACCCCUGCACCAAGCAGUUCCUCUUGGACCCUCAUAUCCAGCAUUGGCAAGGUGCUCUUAACCAUGGCAAUGACUCAAUGGCACAGUCUCUUCCCUCCCCCCCCUCCCACCCCCCAACACACACACACUGACUCCCUCAUGCAGCAAUCAUCCUGACUAGUCCACCAACUACCGGCGGGAGUGCUGGAUGUCCACCGUACAGAUCAGUCUAAAAUCAGUGAUCUUGCCAGCAAGCAAAUGGCCAAUUUGUGUAGUGCACUGUGGAUGGUGGUCAAAGUCCUAAAGCAGGAGAUAGCCAAGGGGGUAAGGACUUGGAGGACAUGGCCAAGGGGAAGAGGAGAUCCAUUGGACAAUGAGGGUGAUGGGUUAGAGGCAUCAAUGCAACAAUGCUACAAAGAUGAGUGAUCUGGAGAGGCCAAGGUGGGGAAAGGAUCUCUCUUUCAAAGAACCACUAGAAUCAAGUGGCAAGCCUAUAUUUGAGCUACUGUAGCUUGACUUGAAACUUGGCUAUCAUCUUGACUAAAGUCGAGUUAUUGCAACUUAGUCCAAAACAUCAGCCUGACUUGCUGCGGUUCACUGAGCUGCAGUAAAUGGAACUCAAAGCCCAAGUCUUUGCAACUAGACCUGCCGGAAGGUCCACUAGAGCAAACAGACCCUCAAGAGAACACAAUUGCUGCAAUCACGGAUUCUUUUUCCCCAUCUCUAUCCUUGGGAGGAGGAGGAGGGGUGAAAAGAAAGAACAUAAAGCUAAGCAAAGGCUAGCCAGAGGCCAAAAAGUUUGUAUUGUCAUGGCAUUAUAUUAUCAAUUGUUUAGCUCAAAAACCUAUUUUUAAAUUAUAUUUUGUUAUAACAAUAUCAUAGGAGGAAACAUGUCGAGGUACCUAGUUUGAAAAGUUUGAAUUUCAACAAAGUUUAUUCCAGUUUAAUCUGUAAUAUCUUCCCAACAUUUUUUUGUGUACAAAAUUUGCUAAGAUGGCGUCGAUGUGUUUUCCACAGGUAACAUAUUCGCCAAACCAAAAGAUACAACUCUCAACAACAUGAUUACAGUUUAGAUAUUAAUAUGAUUUGGAAGCUCUUAUCAGUGUCAGGGAGUUUCUUUGGUAAUAAUGCAUAUAAUAAAAUUGUGUCAUCAAGAAAAGUAUGACAGUUGGGCCAUAACCUAGUCAUACUAUGUUGGCCCAUCAAAACAAGUUGACCAAUCACUUCUACUAGCCUAUGAAUACCAUUGGCUUAAGGCCGAACAUAAAGCCACAGGUAAACUGGUCGACAUUAUUAAAUAUGAUAACGAGAUGGUGGAAUUGAUCCAGGCCAAUUAAAAAAGGUGUGGAAAAAUACAGAAAAGCAAUGACCUAUAACAUGUGCAAAGGUAGUAAACUAACAUCACUCAAACUAAACAAAAGAAAAAUGAAAAGGCAAAAAAACUCUAACCUGCUUGUUGGCUAAUAUCAGAAGUGGUGCCCCUCGUAAAUCCUCAUGUCGAAGUACUUUUUCUGUUCAGCAGUUUCUAGAUUUAUUAUUCAUAAUAUAUAUGUGACUAUACAGAAAAUAAUGCAUACAUAAUUCAAGCUGAAUGGCUGUAGUAGGCCAAAAUCAAUAUCAUAUAAAUUUUUCAAGAGAUAAUGCAGUAGUAGUGGCUGGUACUAACCUAAUGCAGACUUGGAAUGUUCAAAUGAUGAUGGACAAGCAGCAUCAAUAACAUAGAUUAUAGCAUGUGCCUCCUCAUAAUAUUUUUCCCAGAUUGUUCGCAGACCAACCUGCCAAUUUAAGUUAAACAUGUCAUAAUUUUGAAGUUUGAUAACCAAAAGCACUAUAUUGCUUUCAGUCAUGCAUUUAAAGAUGAAGUUUUUGCAAAUUAAGCCCCCACUAUCUCCCCUUGUGAACUUUUGUAUCUUGAAGCAAAUAGUCCUAUGAUAAUCUCUACAAUCUAAUUUAUGGGUUCCUUACGUUGUUCGAUCAAAUGUAAACACACUUUCAACUCCAAAGUUCAAUUUCCCCAUGCACUAAAGACAGGUAAUAUGUGGACCUGGAGUUGAAAGGUAAUGUUAUUGACAUAUUAAUAUCAGUGAUUAGGAAGGGAAAUACUAUAACUUCUGUAGGCACUGACAUACUAUAAAACUAACGAAGAGUACUGUGGCAGAUAAUGCUUAUCACAGUAUUCUUGCGUGACUUCUUUAGACCUAGUUUUGCACAAUUUUCCACGCAGAUAAUUUUUACUCAAACAAUAUGAAAUCAAGUCACUCUUGAAUGAAGGGGUGAGUCUGCCAGUUCAACAAGCAAGACAAAGGGGUUAUUCUAAAACGUAGGAAACUCAAAUAUCACAUUAACUACAAUUUGGAAACUAGAAAACUGCUUUAGAAUACUUUGGAAACUAGAAAACUGCCUUAGAAUACCUAGAGCGAGCAGCACAAAUUAUUAAACAAUUGAGCAAACUUUUCACAAUGGAGAAUAAUAAGAGAGAAAUCAUUUGCAUACAAGAAGUCUGAAUUGUUAGUUAGUUUAAGCAGUAUCAUAUUGCAGUUAGACAGUACAAAAAAAAUAUUGUUUUGAAGAAUUCUACUUGUAGAUCUUUGCAAGAUAAUCGAGAGAUCAGUAAGGUGUCAGCAUCCAUGUUGUGAUUAAAAAAAUAGAAGAAAUUGAAUUUCACAUUCUAGUAAAAUAUUGUUUCAUAUCAAUAAUGUUAUUUUGUUUAUUUAGGAUAAGAAUGUGAUUUGUAAAAUAAUAUCUUUGGGAUGGCUGAAGUUUCUGAAAUAAGACUCCAAUGAGCAAUUACCUCAAUAAUACUGAUAUGUUUCUUUGUGCUCGUGUUUGUCACCAAUGCAUUACUAUUUUGCCUGCGGCAGCCUAAAGUGGGAUUGGUUACAGAAAUUGAAUCAGGAGUAAGGUGGUAGUAAUCAGCAAAAGAUAAAGAAAAAGAAGCAAGAGCAAAUAGAAAAUGAAUACAUUCUUAUUUGUUGAUGGCAUUUUAGCAAUAGGUUCAAAGAUCAAUAGAAUUGAUUGAUGGAGCAUUGAAUGAAAUGGGAUGGGCAUGUACAACGAAGAUCUGAGAUGGCACUAGUAAAGAAUAUCACUUUAAUUUGUCUUAAAGGAUGUAGGAGGAAAAGACCUAAGGGAAGAUGAGGCUUCUGAGAAAAGAUAUAGAAAAGCUUGAAAUAAUAUUAGAGUUGAUAUUAAAUAGGAAUAAUUUGGAAUGAGGAUCCAUUAAGCUGACUCCAAACAGUUGGGAUGAAGUUUGAUGGUUAUGGUUAUGGUUAUAAAAUCAAUGGAAUACUGAAUAACAUGCAAUCAACGGAAAGAAAUUGUAGUCUCGACAAUAUGUUAUUAGUAAUGGAAGACUCAUGGGUGCAUGUGAAAAGGACUCCAGUGAAUUUACAUCAAGAAUUACCUAGGUCAAGCCCAUAUUUGUUUUGAAUAGAAGACUUCUACCCAAACAUGAUACCAACUAAUACAUUCUGAAUUUUAUGGGCCAGGAAAAAAUAAUUUAAUUGUGCUGCCAACCCCAGAUAGAUGGGCAAAUGUUGAAUGGUUAUUGUUAUAAAGAAUUGAGCAUAGAUGUUGUAUCAAAACGUGAUUUUUGGAUCUAGAAUUCAGAUAUGAUUUACCUCGACAAUGCAUGUGAAUGAAACAUUUAAUGCAUGCCAACUGGGCCAUGGAUCAAAUCAAAUGCCUCCACCCAAACCGAAUCACAACUUUGUGCAGGUGGAGGGAUUGCAAAAACAAGUACUAGCAGGCUAAAUUGUAUCCCUGCAAAUUAAGAUGCAUAUGACCCAUGCAAUUGAUUCAUACCCAUAUCAAUGGAAACUAAAAUGAAAGCAUACAGGAGCAGGAGUGUGAGCACCACUGUUAAUUACACUUGCACACUCAGCAAGGGUGCCAAAAAUCUAACUGUCCUCAGGGGUCAAACGCAGAAGCCUCCAAAAUCUAGGAACGAGAACAUGGCAUAUCCAUAUAUGUAUAUAAGUAUGUAUCUCUGGACAUAAGCAUAUAUAUAUAUACACACACACACAAAUAUUCUUACAAUACACAUAUAUGUAUGUAUAUAUGUAUGAACAAUCACAAACAUAAAUAUAUGCAUACUACAUCAUGGACACCAGCUUUGCCUUUCAAUGCUUUAAAAGGAAGUUGCAAUAUGCAGGGAGUCAAGAGGUUGCAUAGUGCAUAUGCAUUGUAUGAGCUGCAUAUGCGGUUAGUAUUUUAAAUAUUUAAAAAUAAAUAAAAUACAUUAAAUGCAAUAAUGACAGCAAUAUGUUUUAUAAGUAAUAGCAACACUAAUAAGAAUAAUAUCUAGCAAUUAGUGUUUACUACUCAAUAUUUAAUACUUAGUACUAAGAAUAAUAAUAUAACUUGCAUAAUGAUACUAUCAAUAUACAUAUAGGGGUGCAAAUAGGUCGGGUUGGACCGGGCUAUGAGUAACCCUGACCCAACCCGAUUUCUUGUUCGGAUCCUAAUAUUGGACCUAGACCCAAUCCAAUAGAAGAUCGGGUCGGGUCCGGUCUAGUCCAUUGCUAAAAUUUUUGACCCAACAGGUCAUUCAGGUCGGAUCGGAUCCAUGUAUAAUCCGAUCUCAACCCAAAAAAUCAGGUUCGAGUCAAGUCUGGAUCGGGCCCAAAUGGACAUGAAUGAGUAUGACUGUCUGUGAAGCAGAAAGCAGCCUCAAUGACUUUCUUUUUGGAUAUUGAAGGACAAAAAACCACAAACUAGAUAAGACUGACUGGCUGCAAAAACAACAUGCAGUGCUUCAUCAAAUCAGAUUAUCUAGAGAAUAGCCCAUGUCUUUUUUCAAAGCUCAGUUGUUACUUUGUUACUACAAAUGCUCAUUAUUCUUUAAUAAGCCUUCAAAACCAAGCAAUAAAAUUGCAUGAAUCAUUCUAUGUUCUGAAUUGGAGCUAUAAACUCAAUAUGCAAAAUACUGCUCACAUACAGGACAUGCACAUAAGUCAUAAGGCAUAACAUAGAGAACAACAUGGGUUCGGACUUUAUCGGGCCCAAAUGGUUUGCCGGAUUCAGUUCGGGUCCAGUCGGAUCGGGUCGUAGAGUUAGAAACCCAAAAUUGUCCAAAAUUCAAAUGGGUCGGAUUAGGUCGAGUCGGGUCUAAAUUUAGUAAACCUAGACCCAACCCAAAAAAUAGAAUGGGCCCAAUUUUAGAACCCAACUCGGCCCGAUGGGUCCUCCAAAAUGAGUUGGAUCGGGUCUAAGCAGGUCGGGUGACAAGUCAACUCGACCCAUUUGCAGCCUUAUAUACAUGCAACUAGCCUCAUUAAAACUCACAUCUAAUCCAACCAUUAGCUUGAACAUGCCUAGUUCAUGUAGGCCCACAUAAGUGUGGACAAGUAUGUGUUUGCACAAUACCACAAAGCCCACAUAUAUGGUUACACAAUGAUAAGUAGGCUACAUAUGCAGCCACAAAAUGCUAAGCAUGCUGCAUGUCUUGGUAAAGUGCUAAAAAAAAAAUUUUCAACCCAACAUGCAGCCCAACUGCAUAUACUAGCCACAUAUAGGGUAUGCAGUGCGAUCAUGAGACUGUACAUGCAUAUGUGGCCUCAUGAACCACAUUUUAAAACACUGGUGUUUUCUGAUGUUUAUUAAAAGAAAGGAGAAACUUGAAAGGGGAAGGAGAAUUACAAAUCUAAGAAACAAAUUAAUAAAAUAUUCAUGAGUUUGCAAGUUAUUUAAUACUCACUGAGUUUAUUCAAAAUUAUUCAAUCACAAUGCAUUUGUAUUUCACACAAAAUGACAAUUACUUAAAGUGUUAAUUUAAUUGCAAUGACUUCAUACUUAAAACGUAAUAGCACUUUGCUAGACAUGCAAUAUGGAUAUUAAGUCGCUCUUUUUUAUGUGCAAUAUCAAUAAGGAUUGAAUUGAAGUUCAUCUAAUAUCUUAUUGAUAUUUGCUUGCAGUACAAUCAACUGUGACAGUAAAUUGACUGUAGCAUAAGGAAUAAGUUUUGUCCCUAUUCCAUACCAGUUAUGGUCAAAACUUAUAACUAUUUAGAUAAAUGGAUACAAAGUUCAGAGAAUUCACAACCGAGAACUUUAACCAGAUUUUCGAUUAGCGUCAGCAUUUAUUUCUCACUAGAUUUCUAUAGUUCUGUGAUUGAAUAAUUUUAGCAUGUUUCUUUUCGUUAUUGAGUCAGAUAAUUCUAUUUCUAGUAUGAUAUUGUAUCAAGUUUAAGGCCCAACCAAUUUGUCUUUUAGACUUCACUUUGAAUCAGCCAACAUGGCCCUUCACCUUUUGUCCUCCUAAACAGGAUGAGCUUUGAUACUGACCGAAGCGGUCUUCGUAUCAGGUUGUAACGAUUGGAACAGGUGGUUCAUCCUAUUCCCGUGCUUUACAAAAUUAAAAAUCUAUCAUCCCGACUAGGACAGGCUUUGUACCGUCCUUGGUACCACUCAGAGACGGCAGGUAGCUCCAGAUUUUGCUUGUUUCAUGACCAAGUGCCAAUUUUGUGCAGAAAUAGUAUGACACCGAUGCCACCAUCCUGUUUUGGCCGGAUUCAAAUACACGAUGUGAAACAAUACUAUUGAAAAAUGAUAUUUUAUCAUGCUAAUCUUUUGUUGUUACAACAUGUACCUUGCAAUGACAUAUGCUGGGAACAAAUGUACUAAUUAUAAUUAAUUAAGAAGUAGAUCUGAGUAGUGACUCUUUUAUUUAUGUUAAAAAAACCUUUUCCUUUCUCUAUAGCCAAAACUGCUGCAUCAAACUAGACCAAAUAUAACUAACAGAACUGUUUACAAAGAAUACAUAACUAGUGGCAUAAGCCUUGCAACUUCAGAAUAAUUUCAUAAUUUCAAAGUUGGGCUUGAAAACACAUACCUGACCUCCUAAGUCCCAAAACACAAGUUUUGCAUUUGAAGCUUCAAUACGACCAAUGUUCAAUCCAACUGUUGGAACAAUCCGGUCAGGUGGGAGCCCUUCCAAGUUUGAAUACAAUGACUUCAACUUCUCCAACAAAGUCUUCAUUUUCAAAAAUAUAUUAAGCAUCAAGUUUAGCAUACUGAAUAAAUAAAAAACUUAAAAAGGAAAACAAGAUGUAAUAUUUAGUGAAGGAAUGGAAGUGAAUCUCAAUGAAGCAAGAAGUUGAAAAAAAAAAAAAGCAAUGUCACCUUUUUCAUUGCAUAUAUGCACAAGUAUAUAAGUGAAAAAUUUUGUUCGGUAUGUGCAUGGAAACAAGAAGAAAAUCAACAAAGAAAUAUCAAAUCACAAACUACAACUCAUAUGUUUGAUUACGAAGCCUAUAGCAAAUAAGGAGAUGACAUUGUCUUCUCUCUAACUAUACGGAAUAAAAAAAUAAGUGACUUACUUCUUUUUACAUCACCAACAUGAUUCAUUGUCAAACUCAAACUCAAAAGAAAAGGAGAUUUACAAUUCCUAUUUGCAGAAUACAGAUAUCAGGCAUGCCUAUAUAAUUACCCAUAACUGUGGCCAUAUUAAUUGCAUAUCUGAUGUUCAUCUGAUCAAAAUAAUAUUUUCAUAUUCAAAUUUGCACAAAUAGUUAGAAGAAUGUUAUCUUUCAUGACCAAUUAUGUUCUCAUAUAAUGUUGGCCAACCACUUGUACAAUGGUAACUACAGACUAUAACUAGGAAUUAUUUGAUACAUAUAUUUUAAAAGUACACUGUUGAUUAACAGGUCUCACUACCAAUGGCGAGCAAUGCCAAAAGAAGCCCAAAAAAUAAGGCUAAGUACCAAUAGCUAACAUAAGAUCUAUAAUAAGUAACUAAAGAUGAGAAGCAGAAUGCGGCAGUUCUGUCCUGGCUGACAAAAGAACAAUAACAUGCAACUGAACUUGCAAUGGAAGGAGAUAAAAUUUGACGUUGCCAAGCAUAUAAAAAUGUUCAUUUUGUAUAGUUAGAAGGAAACUAAUGCAAGUAGAAGAACAGAACAUGCUAAACAUCACUGCACCAUGCCUACAAGAUACAAGCUUGGAGAGGGCUACAAGUGUGUGUAACACUCCAUGCAGGUUCAUAUUAGUGCAUGACAAAGAGUGCCCUACCAGCAGAGAUCAAUAUGGGCUAGCAAAAACCUAAUUUGUUUGCCACAAGCAUCCUAUGCCACUGGACCCUUUGAUUACUCUUAAGUACCCGCAUAAGACACAUAUAUGGAUUUUGAUAGCACUACAAGAAGAAGUUCCUAGAUUCAAAGGAUCAUUUGCUAGAUUCAUACUGUGCAACCAACACAUAGCUGAGCCCACGUAACAUAGCAAGCACCUAGCAUGUGGACCAGCAGUGGGCAUAUGACCAACAUCAUACAUAUCAUGCUAACCAGCUACCAACAUAGGAACAGCAUGCAGUACAUAAUAUCAUCAUUCAAUUAUGAGAGCAGGUUAUAUAAUUCAAUAAAGUAUGUCUUCCUACCGGACAACUAGCCCCAUAGAUUUCAUAUAAGUCUUCACUUGCCUAGAACAGCCUUCUCUAGGAGCCAAAACUAAAUAAAGCAGGGUUGACAUCAUGCUCCAUCUUCAUUGAAAACAAAAUUAACAAGUCUCAAUGAUUAUGCCUAUUCCAUAAAGUUAACCCAUGUGAAUAAGAUCAAGCUUGUUAGAUAAGGUUGAGAAUCUUUGUAUUCAUUGGAAAAGUAAAUAAAAUGACACAAGAUCUCCAACUAAAUGGAAAUAAAAGAUUGAACUAAUUGAAAUAAAGGUCGCAAGGAAGACAUUAAUAAUAAGAUGGAAAUACAGGAACUAGAUUGAAAUAAUUGAAAGGUAAUAGCAAUGCAACAUAUUAAAAUUCAAAAGAAAAACUAAUAGAUACUGGGUAAUCGAUGGGCAAAAUUAAUAGAAACUCAAUAGAGAACAGGACUGCUCUCAAAUGUGAGCACCAAAAUCACAGAACGAUAAGAUUGGGUUCAAAUGAAAUAGGGGAAAAUCCAACCAAUUUGAUUAAUAAAAGCAUGACCAGAAUGUGUCAUUAAAAUUACUUUGCACAAAAAGGGAAACAAAAAAGUGAGGAAAAGAACAAUCUAACCAAUUUUCUGAUGUGUGGUAAUAUUGAGUUAGGAUAGAUCGCACAUUUCUAGCUAAUGAAUUGGUUGAAAGAGGAUUCAAAUUGGCAGCAUCAUGAAGAAGGCUGAAAAAGGAAGAAGGAAAUAUUUCCCAUGCAUGGGCGAUCUUCAAUAUGAACUUGAGAUUGGUAGAGCAGAAUUGUGCCAGUAUGCUUUACCGACAUGACUGCAUUGAAGAAUAUCGACACUGCAACAUUUUUCCCAUGAAUAAAAGAUCCUCAAUCUUAACCUACAAUUAUAAUAGCAAGGUUGCAAUCAUGCAAGUUCAACACCAUCAUUAUUAAGCUACUUAAAUAAUUCACUCGCUUUAUCAUUAGUUACAAGUAUAAAUAUAUAAAGGAAGAGAGGGGUAAACUGGCUCGCAUAGUUGAUUGGAGGAGCAAAUAGGGAGACUUUUGCAGGAAAUGUGGGAAACCAAAAAUACAUAAGAAAGGUAAGAGAGGGGCAAAAGGAAUCAGAAAGCUAAUCAGAGAGGGUGAAUAUGAGGCAUAAAGGGAAUACGGUCAGGAUUUCCAAAAUCAAAUAAGCCCAAUUUGGCCUACUGUACUAUGAUGAUACCAUAAAGAAUAAAUGUACACCCAUGCUGCAUGUAAAACAAAAGGAAAUCAACGCAUGAACACAGAGCUUCUCAAUAUCUGACAUAAAAGACUAUUGGACUUGUACAUACACACAAAGCAACAAAAAUUCAGGAGAACACUGCAUUUUUAAGCACUAAAACUAGGUUGUAUGUCAAAAACAUAAAUUUAAAAAGAAGUUUGUAGGUUAAAAAAAACAUAAGGAAGGCCAAGAAUUACAGUUUUUCCAGCUUUGUCAAUUCCAAGAAUAAGAACAUGGAACUCUGUCUUGCUGAAGAGAUAUUUCCAAAGUCCAUAGAACAACGAGAACAUUUCUUUGUCGUCCUUGUUGCCUUAAGAAAGUUUGUACUUAGCACUAACUUUCAAAAUCCAAGAAAGAUUUCCAUAAAAACAAUGUCAAAAUCGUCUUCAUACACCACUGUAUCCUGCAUAGAUAAACACACGACUCAAGAUCGAGAACCAGAAAAUGAGAGAUGAAAAACUAGUGAUAGGUGCAAAAUCAUUCUUGGCUAUUUGCAAGCAUAGUUCUUAAAUUCAUUGACAACUCUGCGCAGCAGACCUAACUUAAUGUCCCUACAGUCACAGAGGUGCCUAGUUAUUUGCCUGAAAAGCAGACUCUAUACAAAGUCAAUCAUUUUGAUUUAACCUCUUCAUUUACAAUAUUAGAUUUUUGCAUUUUUCAAUAGUUUAGUAUUUUAAUAUUUCUUAAGGACUACAUGGAUAAAUAAUUAGAAACAUUUCAAAAUUUACUGAAGUUUGUAAUAUAUACCAAACUCCCAAAAAAUUACAAAAGGAAUAAGAUAAUGUUGCUGUUCUUUAAGCUAGAGUGUUAGAGAUUAAAACGAUUCUACAAUUGUCCAUCUUCCUCAAGACCAAAGCUCAUGUGUAGGUUUUGAAUGAAACAAGGAUCAAGAUAUCGCCUGCCAGUGCCAUGAUGGUUAGCACAGUACUAAUCAUGCCAUUCCAUGGCUGGCAAACACUGGCACAAUGGCAUACCAAGCAUUGGAAUGCAGCCGAUAUUGUGCCACUGCAGCAUGCUGGUAAGGCACAAGCACAAUAUAUAAGGUGUAUUAAUCCAUGAAAUGAAAGAUCUUUCAUGUUCAGCACUUGAAUUGAAGUUCUUUUUCUUUCCUAUACAACUCCGUCUAUUACUUGUUUGAUAUAUUUUACUCCCUUGUUAGCAUUCAUGUAGUCAUUCAUAACGAGAAAUAAGAAGUUAAUACUUCCCAUGUCAUCGAAAAAAGAAAAAAGUUCAGAGAGUAGUUAGGGAUCGGAGCAGAGCAUAAUUAAUCCACGACGGGCCGAACAAUCAUAGCAUUAAUAGAACACGUACAGUUAAGCACAAAAAAAUCAUAGCAAGUAAGGGGUAAAAAACACAGAUCCAGGCACACAAAUGUACAGAACACACACACACACACAAUUCCAAGUUAGAGGUGGGAGAUCCACAUUUACGGUUGAAUCAAGGCGGAAUAUCUGCAUCUAGGGUUACAGGGAAUGGAACUGGAUCCUCACCGAAGAUUCAAUUUCGUCGGAAAUCAAACGCCCGGAGGCCGAGAUGCCCGUGCCGAGAUGAUGAUAGCGGAGUUCUUGACCGCCGCAGGAGACGAGGAGAGAGAACGGAGAGAAGGAGAUCGCCGGCCGGAGGGGAGAAAGGGAAGAGAGGAACGGAGGAGGGGGGGCGAGAGAGAGAGAGAAUGAUGAGAUCGACGGAGGAGGGGGCGAGAGGAAUCGGAUUCGGGAAUCGGGGGAAGUCGGUCUAGCCCGCAACAGCAAGACCCGUGGCCGACAGGGCGCCGGUCGACCGGCUGCGGUUCGGACCUUUUCCGUUUAUAACGGCUGGAGUUUGCUGCACUCAAAGAGCUGAAGGCCUAAAGCAUGACAAGCAGGUCCAUUUUGAUGCCACCGCACUGACUCCUGGGCGUUCCUCGAGUUUGUCACGUGCUAUAUACACGUGGCCAGCUUUUCUGUUUUGAGUAAAUUAUAUUUUUUUUUUUGAGAUCUAUAUUUAUUAUACUUAUAUUCAGUUAAAUUAACAGCAUUAAUAAAUCCAUUUAGCUUAUAUAAAAAGAAGUUAAAAUUAUUCCUGAGUAAAUUAUAAAAAGCUCCUAAGAUUAGAGGUGAAUUAUACUUACAUCCAAUAGUUUGAAAAUCCACGCUUAUUCCCUUAAAAUUUGUUUUUAUCUAAUACUUUAAUCCAUAACUCAACAGAAUGUUGACCAAACCAUUAACUUAAAUAUAACCUAAAUGCCAUAUUAGAAAAAAAAUUAAAAAUAACCAAACUGGUCUUAAGUUGUAUAACAUUCACCCAAGAAGGAGAACAGUUUUAAGGUUCCAUUAGUCUAAGCUUGAUCUCGAUGAAUUAUCAGAAAAAUGUCAUAUGCCAAGAAAAAAGCAAUCUAGAUCUCUCAAGCAAGUGGAUGCCUCUAAAAUUUUCUGCUGCGAGGAACCAACAUCAAGAGUUUUAUCGCUUGAGCUAACCUACCCAUGGUCUAAGCCAGACUAUGGAACCACAACUGAUGCACCCUCCGAAAGAAGAGUUUUCACACGUAUUGAUUUAGAUCUUUUUGAUGAUAAGCUGCGAGAGCUAUUAUAGCUCCAUAUUAUAGGAAUCUUUAUUCACAUCGACAACAUUAAAGAAUUAUAUCUACAGUAUUUGACAAGUUGUCACGCCCCGAACCCGGAUCCGUGACACGGCCGUGCCAUUGCCGACUAUCGCCCACAAUAGCACGCAGCCUCGUACAGGGGUAACAGGUGGCCAAUAAAAUUUAAAAUUUCAUAUAUUAAAAUAUUUCAGUUUAACCUUUAAGGCUGAUACAAAAAUACAGAACUUCUAUACUAUUCAAGUAUACAAAAGUAUGUAUGCUUCUCCAAAAAUAAAGAAGCUCUGUUACAAAUGAAAAAUAUAUCUGAAGGCGAUCACUGGUAAGGAUCUGAAAAGAAAUGAAAACAAAUAGGUAUGAGCUACACGACUCAGUAAGUAAUUCUGCAUAAUCCUAUCAGAUCAACUAACAUGCUAAACAUGUUUAUCAGGGUUUGAGAAGCUGACAUGCAUAUUAUCUAACAAUUUAUCAUGGCAAAAUAUGUAUGCUGGGUAAACAAAGCAGUAUUUCGAGUCAAGCAAAAAUUUUCAUAAAGUAUACAUAUGAAACCGUGCCCCCGACAUGUCGUGGUCCAUUCUCUCGGAUGCUACUGCGAAGUCAGUCUCGGCCAUUGGCGGGGCCAGCUCAGUUAUUAUUCAGCCACUGGUGGGGCAGGCUCAGUCAUUCUCGGCCACGAGCAAGGCCAGCUCAGUUGUAUUCGAUCAGUAGCAUCUUUGAGUCCAUUUGUAGUGCCCUUCGGCUAAAUAAAAAAUUUUUGUUGUACUAACUUGCAUGCAUGAUUUAAAAUAUCAGCUUAAUCGUAAUGCAUAUAUGGCCACAAAUUGUAAAUCAGGCAAGUUACUUACUUAUCAUAACAUAUCAUUCAUGAAGUAUGUACUUGAAUAAUACUUAGGAAAAUAUUAAUAAUAUUACAUGAUCCAAAGUAGGAUUAGAACAGGUUACUUACAAUAAAUAGUAUUCCAAUUCCUUGGGUCCGGAUGACGGGUCUUGAUUUCUAAAAUUACAUUGCAAGACCCACAUUAUCCUCUAAUUAAUAUAAAUUUCAUUCAUCUUACCAUGGACUUGUUUGUAUCCCAACCAAGGAUUUAGCCCAGUUCAAUUCACUCAACUUGAAGCCUUUGGGUUUAAUUAAAGUAGAUUUGGGUCUACAAGGCCUAAUUGGGCCUUUAAUGAAAGGGUUGGGUCGGAUUUGUGGUUAGGUCCACCCUUUUUCUAGCCAAUUUGGCCCUCUGCCAAUUUGAUUAGGCUUGAUCUGGACCUGAUUUAGAACUAAUUGGGCCUGCUGGAACCAAUAUGAUAUGGACAGGGUACGGACCUAGCUAAUUUGAGCUUAAUUGGGUUUGGGUCCAGCCCAAUUUGGCUUAAUUGGGUUUGCUCAGGCUUAGACCCGUUGUCAUUUAGGCUUAAUCAGACUCUCUUCCCCAAUUNNNNNNNNNNNNNNNNNNNNNNNNNNNNNNNNNNNNNNNNNNNNNNNNNNNNNNNNNNNNNNNNNNNNNNNNNNNNNNNNNNNNNNNNNNNNNNNNNNNNNNNNNNNNNNNNNNNNNNNNNNNNNNNNNNNNNNNNNNNNNNNNNNNNNNNNNNNNAGGAGAUUGGAGCACUUGGAUUGGUCCUCUGCUUCGUGUGGAUACCCGUAGAGGUCGGGCACUUGAACGGCUUCAAGCGAACCCUCAUCCAAAACCACGAUCAUCAGUUUGCGGUGAUCAUCUACCCGCAAAAGGUAAAGAUCUGAUCUUCUAAUGUUUUAAAAGGUUUUUAAUCCUUAUCUAUCUACGAACGGUUUUUGAACAAUGUUCAUGCGAUGAACGGUUGAUCCCGCGCAUGCCUCUUCCGCUGCAUCUGAAAAUUUUGAAAUUUCAGCGGCAUGAUCGGGGUUUUCUAACAGCCGGAGGAGAGGAGAGGAGCUGGGAGGUGGGAUCGAGGCCGGAUCUCCUCCGGGAGGUCCUCUCCGGCUCCGACCACGACGAGGUAUGGCCGUGGUCCGAGGUAGGUAUUUUAUUUUAUGUAUAUAUAUAUAUAUAUAUUUUUGUCCUUCUUCUUCUUCUGUUUCGUUCUUCUCCCUUUUUCCCCCUUUUCUUUGUGGAAGUCGCGCCACCACCUUCUCGCUGGCGGAGAGGUGGGGUUCGGCUAAGGCUGGCGGCCUUGAGGCCGCGUCUGUCGCCGGCACGGCCAGACCCGGUGGCCCUUGGCUGCCCCUCAGCCCUAGGGUAGCCAUGGCCGGGGCCUCUCACCCGCAGGCCGAGUCCGGUUGGGCUCGGCCCGGGUGGACGUGGGCCUGGGCUUGGCCGUCCUUGGGCCGGCCCAUGGCCUGUGGGUUCGGCCCGCAGUCCGUGGGUCCGGCCCGCCGCCCGUGGGUCCUCCUCCUGUCUCCCUCUAGUGCCGGUCCUUUUCUUCUUGCGCCGAUCUCCCUCCCUGUGCCGGUCUCCUCUCCUCUGUUUCAUGGAUGAAACAGAGAGGAGAACACCCCACAGAGGGUUUCUCUCCCCCAUUUUCCUACCUAAAACCCUACUUACAGGGCCCUUACCUUGAUUCGGUUGACUGGAGUUGGGCAGUACCUCCUUCUCGGCAAGUUCCCUCCUUCCUCUCCUAGGGGUACAAGGUCCCUUCUGCCUCCAGCUCCAAGGCUUGGCUCUCUGGUGCAGUAGAUCCAGAGGGUUAGUGGGUUAGGGAGGGUAUAUCAAAUUCGGGGUUAGCAAAUCUUAGGGGUUUUAAAUAACAGGCUUAGGACUUGACCCCAAAGGAGAGGUGGCGUUCUCUCCUUCCUCACUACUCCAAGAGCCACCAGCUGUCCCUCCUCCUCAGGUCAGCUCCAAGCUCAGUUGCCAAGGGGGAGGAGGUGGCGGGCUCCCAUUUUGCAUGUCUGUGGGGGUCUCUCCGUUGGCCAUCUGGUGGUCCUGUCCUUUCAGCCCUUAGGGGAAGACAGCAGUCUGCCCUUCCUGGGCCAGCGUGGCCCGCUAACCCCCCUGGCCCAAUACCCUUCAACUGGGCCCUACAGUAUUGGGCCUGGUCUAUAUUGGGCCCGGACAUUACAUCCUUCCCCCCUUAACAAAAAUUUCAUCCUCGAAAUUAAACAUACCUUGGUUCUCGAAGAGCUGAGGAUAACAUUGACGCAUCUCUUCCUCCAGUUUCCAGGUAGCUUCCCUUUCAGUGUGAUUAGUCCACUGGACUUUAACGUAGGGAAUGGUGCACCUUCGGAGGAUUUGCUCUUUUCUGUCUAUGAUGCGCAGGGGAGCUUUCUCAUAGGUUAAAUAUUUAUUUAAUUGUAGAGGCUCAUGUGGCACCAUAUGGCUGGGAUCCGGGAUGUAUCUCCGUAGUAGAGAGACAUGGAAGACGUUGUGUACGCCGGAUAGUUCUGGAGGUAGGGCCAACUUGUAGGCAACCUUGCCUAUUCUGGCAAGAACCUCGAACGGGCCGAGGUAGCGAGGACCUAACUUGCCGUACCUUCCAAAUCGGGUAAUACCCUUCGAUGGAGAAAUUUUUAGGAAGACAAAGCUCCCCUCCAAAAAUUCCAAGGCCCUCCUUCAUCUAUCAGCCCAUCUUUUCUGUCUGUCCUGGGCAGCCUGAAGCCUUUGCUUAAUAAGAAGUACUUUAUCUCUAGUGUGCUGGACCAGUUCGGGGCCCAGCAUUCUCCGCUCCCCGACAUCAUCCCAAUGUAGGGAGGAUCGGCAUUUUCUCCUAUAGAGAGCUUCGUAUGGGGCCAUCUGAAUGCUGGAAUGGUAGCUAUUGUUAUAAGCAAACUCCACCAGUGGUAUAUGACUAUCCCAAUUUCCACCUAGAUCCACAGUACAUGCCCUCAACAUGUCUUCCAGAGUUUGGAUUGUCCGCUCUGACUGGCCGUCAGUCUGGGGGUGGUAUGCUGUACUGAGCCUCAGUCCGGUACCCAUAGCCUUCUGAAAGCUUUUCUAGAAUCUAGAUACGAAUCGAGGGUCGCGAUCAGAAAUGUUGCUCACUGGUACUCCAUGCAGGCGUACAAUCUCGUCGAUAUAUAAUUGGGCUAGCUUGUCCAAAGGGGUACCAAUCCGGAAAGGUAGGAAGUGGGCCGAUUUUGUGAGGCAGUCAACAAUCACCCACACUGCAUCAUUUUUCCUCACUGUUUUGGGGAGCCCUGUAACAAAAUCCAUAGUAAUGUGCUCCCAUUUCCAUUCUGGGAUCUCUAUGGGUUCUAGUAACCCUGCCGGCCUCUGGUGCUCUGCUUUUACUAGCUGGCAAGUCAAACAUCGUGCCACAAACUCAGCUAUUUCUCUCUUCAUCCCCUUCCACCAGUAAUGUUCCCGAAGGUCCCUAUACAUCUUAGUACUGCCAGGGUGGACAGAGAAACGGGAUUGGUGGGCCUCUUCCAGUAUCUAUUUUCUUAGAUCAGCAUCCGUUGGAACACACAAUCGGUGGCCAAACCUCAGGGUGCCAUCUGGGUGUAUUUGGAACUUGGGUCGCACCCCUUUCUCCACCUCAUCCUUGAGCUGGCAGGUGAGCUCAUCAGACUGCUGGGCGACUUUGAUUCUGUCGAUCAAUGUUGGUUGUAUACUCAAAGUGGCCAGCAGACUUCUUGGAGUUCAGGUAACCACCUCAACCUACAGUUUGUCGAGAUCCUUCUGAAUCUGUGGUUGAGUGGUGAGUAAUGCGGCGGAGCCCACUACUGACUUUCUGCUCAGAGCAUCAGCCACCACGUUGGCCUUCCCUGGGUGGUACUUAAUACUCAAGUCAUAAUCCUUCAGGAGUUCCAACCACCUUCUUUGCCUCAUAUUCAAUUCUUUCUGGGUGAAUAUAUAUUUCAGGCUCUUGUGGUCGGUAUACACUUCACACUGUCCGCCAUACAAAUAAUGUCUCCAAAGUUUCAAGGCGAACACCACUGCGGCUAGCUCUAGGUCAUGGGUCGGGUAAUUCUGUUCAUAGGAUUUUAGCUAUCUUGAGGCAUAGGCUACUACCUUGCCAUCUUGCAUCAGCACACAGCCUAGCCCGUUCUUGAAAGCAUCACUAUAGAUGGUAAAUUCUCCGGUUAAGGACGGCAAUGUUAGAAUUGGGGCAGAUACUAACCUUUGUUUAAGCUCCUGAAAGCUUUUCUCACACUUGUCGUCCCAGACAAACUUGGCCCGCUUCUUAGUUAAACGGGUCAAGGGUGUGGCUAUCUUGGAGAAUCCUUCUACAAAUCGUCGGUAAUACCCGGCUAAUCCCAAGAAGCUUCUGAUUUCCUUGACGUUGGUGGGCUGAGGCCAGUCCACCACUGCUUCUAUCUUUUUGGGGUCCACCGACACUCCAUCCUUGGAGAUCACAUGACCGAGAAAUGCUACAUUAUCCAACCAGAAUUCACAUUUACUCAGUUUGGCAUAUAACCUUUUCUCUCGAAGAGUCUGUAGUACCAUUCUCAGAUGAUCUUCGUGUUCCUUCCUGUUCCUUGAGUAUAUCAGAAUGUCAUCGAUGAAAACUAUCACGAACUGAUCCAAGUACUGCCUAAAGACUCUGUUCAUUAAGUCCAUAAAUGCAGCCGGAGCAUUGGUCAGUCCAAAAGGUAUAACCAGAAAUUCAUAAUGCCCAUACCUGAUUCGAAAUGCAGUCUUUGGCACAUCAUCAGCUUUGAUCUUCAACUGAUGGAAAUCGGACCACAAAUCAAUCUUGGAGAAGACUUGGGCACCCUAUAGCUGAUCAAACAGGUCAUCGAUCCGGGGCAGGGGAUAUUUAUUCUUUAAUGUUAUCUUGUUCAAUUCCUAGUAAUCGAUGAACAGCCGCAUACUCCCGUCUUUCUUUUUCACAAACAAGACAGGCGCUCCCCAUGGCGAUGCACUGGGCUGGAUAAACUUUUUGUCCAGAAGUUCCUAUAGUUGUAUCUUUAAUUUUCUUAACUCAGCAGGAGCCAUCCGAUAAAGAGCCUUGGAGAUUGGUCCCUCUCCUGGUGCAAGAUUGAUAGUGAAUUCGACCUCUCGGUCUGGGGGUAAUCCUGGUAAUUCAUCCGGAAAAACAUCCGGGUAUUUCCUGACCACUGGAAUGUAUUCCAGUUUGAUCUCUUUCUGGGUAUCCAUUACACUGGCCAGAUAGGCCAUACACCCUUUUCUCAAAGCCUUUUCAGCUUUCAAAGCGGAAAUGAAGUGCAGUGUAGGAGUACCUUGAAGGGGUGUGUCACCCUGAAAGAAAAAUUCUUGCUCCCCAGGUGUCCGAAAUACCACCCUUUUAUGAUAACAAUCAAUAUGUGUGUGGUAUUGAGACAUCCAAUCCAUGCCUAAAAUAAUAUCGAAGUCUUGCAUGUCAAGCUGUAGAAGAUUUGUCUCUAAUUCUUUUUUCCCUAUCUGAAUUAUGUAGCCUUUGUGUUUAGUGUCAACAAUUAUAGUCUUUUGAAGGGGCGUAGAAACAUGCCAUGGUUCUACUAAUUUCUCAGAUAUGCUAUGUAGUUGUAUGGAAAAGCUAAAUGAUACGAACGAAUGCGUAGAACCAGAAUCAAAUAGAAUGAGGGCAGGGGCCGAGUUGACUGAAAGCUUACCUGUCACCACCUGAUCGCUAGCACUGGCAUCCUGACGAGUCAGUGGGAAAACUCAAGGGUUACCCCUCGAUCUCUAGUCCUCCAGUGCAGUAUGUCUGGGCUUAUCCCUCUUCCGACUCGGGCAGUCGCGGGCGAUGUGUCCUGUCUGCCCGCAGGAAAAACAAGCCCGGGUCUUCCUCAAGCAGGUACCGCCGUGGUUUUUGCCACAGGUGGGGCAGCUUCUGCUCUGUUUCUUCUUGGGCAUAGACCCCUUGCUGCCUCCGGACCCACUACUCUGUGCUCCCGACGAUCGAGUCCUCUUCAGGUCCUCCCUCUCUCUUCCGGACCGUAUCAGGUCAGCCUCAACCUUCAAGGCUCGGUCCAGCACAUCCCGGUAGCUUGAGAAUAGGUGGGAGGAUAUUCGGGAUCGAAUCUCGUACCUCAAUCCCUGCUCAAACCGGUUUACCUUACUUUUCUCCUCCUCCAUGAACUGGGGGCAAAAUUGUCCCAGCUCGUUGAAUUUAUUGGCGUACUCCAGAAUGGACAUCUGGUCGGUCUGGGUCAGUGCCAAGAAUUCGUUCUGCUUCGCCUGGUUGACUGAGUCCGGAAAGUACUGGGUGUUAAACAACCUCUUGAAGUCCCUCCAGGUGAGUCCAUCGAUGGCAUAGGCCGUCUCCAUGGCCGUCCACCAGUACUCGGCGUUCCCUUUCAGCAUAGAGAUCGCCAGCCGGACCAUCACCUCAUCGGAAAAAUGGAGAGUUUGGAACAUCUUCUCUAUCUCCCGGAUCCACGCUUCUGCCGCCAUGGGGUCGGGCCCACCCUCAAAGGUCGGGGGGUUCAGUCGGCGGAACCUCUCAUAGCAGGAGUCUGCCGAUGGUAUAGCAGCCAUCUGCAUCAUCUGCUGCUGUUGUAGCAGUUGUGCGAUGAGCUGAUAUACCCCGGCAAGGUCUGCCUGACCUGCUACAGACCGUGGAGUAUUCUGGGGGACUGACUGUUCACUAGGCUCCGAGGAGGGUGGUCUCCUGUCGUCGUCCAUGUCCUUCGGGUGAUCGCCUAGUAGUCAAAACUUUAAAGUAAGAUUACGAUAGGCUAGCAUAUUAUGAUAUUUUUCAAGAGCGGUGAAAUUCUUAACUACCCAUUGCCCUAGGUAUUUUAUGGUUAUUCUAUUGUUUAACCUAAGGCUCUGAUACCACGAGAAUGUCACGCCCCGGAUCCGGAUCCGUGACACGGCCGUGCCAUUGCUGACUAUCGCCCACAAUAGCACGCAGCCUCAUACAGGGGUAGCAGGUAGCCAAUAGAUUUUAAACUUUCAUAUAUUAAAAUAUUUGCAGUACAACCUUGAAGGCUAAUACAAAAAUACAUAACUUCUAUACUGUUCAAAUGUACAAAAGUAUAUAGGCUUCUCCAAAAAUAACGAAGCUCCAUAACAAAAGAAAAAUAUAUCUGAUGGCGAUCACUGGUGAGGAUCUGGAAGAAAAUGGAAAACAAACAGGCAUGAGCUACACGGCUCAGUAAGUAAUCCUGCAUAAUCCUAUCGAAUCAACUAAUAGGCUAAACAUGUUUAUUAGGGUUUGAGAAGCUGACAUGCAUAUUAUUUAACAAUUCAUCAUGGCAUAAUAUGUAUGCGAGGUAAACAGAGCAGUAUUUAAGUCAAACAGGCAUUUGCAUAAAGUAUACAUAUGAAAUCAUGCCCCGGCAUGCCGUGGUCUGUUCUCUCGGAUGCUACUGCGAAGUCAGUCUCGGCCACUAGCGGGGCUAGCUUAGUCAUUCUCGGCCACUAGCAAGGCCAGCUUAGUCAUUCUCAGCCACUAGCAAGGCCAGCUCAGUUGCAUUCGAUCAGUAGCAUUUUUGAGCCCAUUAUAGUGCCUCUUGGCUAGAUAGGAUUUCGCUAUACUAACUUACAUGCAUGAUUGAAAUAUCAGCAUAAUCAUGGUGCAUACAUGGCCAUAGUUUAUGAGAUUAGGCAAGUUACUUAUCCAUCAUAACAUAUCAUGCACGAAUUAUAUAUACUUAAAAAAAUGCUUAGGAGAUGCUGGUAAACAUGGCAUGAUUCAUAACAGGAUUAGAACAGGUUACUUACAAUAAGUUGUUAUCAAUUUCUAGAGUCCGGACGACGAGUCUUUGAUUCCUAAAACCAUAUUAUAAGACUCACAUUAUCCUCUAUUUGCCAUAAAUUUUAGUUCAAUUGAAGUAAAUUUGAGUCUACAAGACUUAAUUGGGCCUCUAAUGAAAGGGUUGGGCCUGAUUUGUGGUUGGGUCCACUCUUUCCUAGCCAAUUUGGCCUUCUGCCAAUUUAAUUGGGCCUGGUCUGGACCUGAUUUAGGGCUAAUUGGGCCUGCUGGGGUCAACAUGUUUUGAACAUGGUUCAGACCCAGCUGAAUUGAGUUUAAUUGGGUUUGGGUUUAGCCCAAUUUGCUUAAUUUGGGUUCAUUCAGGCUUGGUCAGGUUCGGACCCAACACUAUUUAGACUUAAUUUGACCCAUUUAAUUCAAUUGGGCUUGGAUCAACCCCUUAAUUGGAUUUACCCAAACCAAUUCAGGCUAUUUGGGCCUAACGAGUUUCGGACCCGAACUUGGAUCCGACCCGUUAGGCAGACCCGUUAAGGGUCUUUCUAGGAGGUUCCAGAGGCUUCGGCCUCUUUUGUUCGCCCCUCUCUCUUCUCCGGUCUCUCCGCCUCCCUCGUUCCUUCUUUGCCUCCGCCGGAACCCUUCCCCGGCCUCCCUCACCUCCGGUCAAGGCAGUGGUCUCCCUUCAGGGCGGCGGUGGUGGAAGGCCGGCCCUUUCCCCUUCUCCGAGGUGAUGCCGGAGGAGAGGAGAGGAGCCGGGAGGUGGGAUCGAGGCCGGAUCUCCUCCGGGAGGUCCUCUCCGGCUCCGACCACGGCGAGGUACGGUCGUGGUCCGAGGUAGGUAUUUUAUUUUAUGUAAUUUUUUUUUUUUGUCCUUCUUCUUCUUCUGUUUCGUUCUUCUCCCUUUUUCCCCCUUUUCUUUGUGGAAGUCGCGCCACCACCUUCUCGCCGGCGGAGAGGUGGGGUUCGGCUAAGGCUGGCGGCCUUGAGGCCGCGUCUGUCGCCGGCAUGGCCAGACCCGGUGGCCCUUGGCUGCCCCUCAGCCCUAGGGUAGCCAUGGCCGGGUUCUCUCACCCGCAGGCCGAGUCCGAUUGGGCUCGGCCCGGGUGGACGUGGACCUGGGCUUGGCCGUCCUUGGGCCGGCCCGUGGCCUGUGGGUUCGGCCCGCAGUCCGUGGGUCCGGCCCGCCGCCCGUGGGUCCUCCUCCUGUCUCCCUCUAGUGCCGGUCCUUUUCUUCUUGCGCCGAUCUCCCUCCCUGUGCCGGUCUCCUCUCCUCUGUUUCAUGGAUGAAACAGAGAGGAGAACACCCCACAGAGGGUUUCUCUCCCCCAUUUUCCUACCUAAAACCCUACUUACAGGGCCCUUACCUUGAUUCGGUUGACUGGAGUUGGGCAGUACCUCCUUCUCGGCAAGUUCCCUCCUUCCUCUCCUAGGGGUACAAGGUCCCUUCUGCCUCCAGCUCCAAGGCUUGGCUCUCUGGUGCAGUAGAUCCAGAGGGUUAGUGGGUUAGGGAGGGUAUAUCAAAUUCGGGGUUAGCAAAUCUUAGGGGUUUUAAAUAACAGGCUUAGGACUUGACCCCAAAGGAGAGGUGGCGUUCUCUCCUUCCUCACUACUCCGGGAGCCACCAGCUGUCCCUCCUCCUCAGGCCAGCUCCAAGCUCAGUUGCCGAGGGGGAGGAGGUGGCGGGCUCCCGUUUUGCAUGUCUGUGGGGGUCUCUCCGUUGGCCAUCUGGUGGUCCUGUCCUUUCAGCCCUCAGGGGAAGACAGCAGUCUGCCCUUCCUGGGCUAGUGUGGCCUGCUAACCCCCCUGGCCCAAUACCCUUCAACUGGGCCCUACAGUAUUGGGCCUGGUCUGUAUUGGGCCCGGACAUUACAGGAUUCAGGUAUAGGUAAUGAUUCAAAUUUAGUAGCCCAUCUGCUAGUAUCCAUUACAGGAAUGGAAUCUAACAAUGCAUUAACCUCCUGAUUCGGCUCUCCUUCCUCAUAAUCUUGACUGAAUUGAGCCAAACAUCUUUCUAGUGGAUCAGAAUAAGUUGAUUCCUCGAAGGACUUGCAGAUUAUAUUCUCAAUCAUGUGAAUUUCUUCUAAAUCGUCCAUCUCAGAUGGGUGAUUACUACUGUGAAAGACAUUGAGUUGGACGGUCAAGUUUCCAAAUGCUAAGGUCAUUAUCCCAUUUCGGCAACUGAUCACAGCAUUUGAAGUGGCCAAAAAUGGUCUGCCAAGGAUUACCGGGAUGUGACUACCUGAAUUUUUCACUGAUUCAGUUUCGAGGACUACAAAAUCCACAGGGUAGUAAAACUCAUUUACCUUUACAAUUACAUCCUCUAUAAUUUUCUUAGGAUACUUCACAGUCCUAUCUGCUAAUGACAAAGUAAUGUUUGUGGGCUUUAAUUCCCCCAAACCUAGUUCGUUGUAGACAGAAUAGGGUAACAGGUUUACACUUGCUCCUAAGUCUAAUAGGGCUCUCUGGAUGAUCGUUUCUCCUAUUUUUAUUUCAAUAGUAGGGCAACCAGGAUCUUUGUAUUUUGGGGCAAUCUGUUGUUGAAUGAGAGAUGAAGCCUGUGCAGCCAUAACAGCUUACCUAGGAAUGCUGGUUUUUCUUUUAACCGUGGUGAGGUCUUUCAAGAAUUUUGUAUAGGAGGGAAUUUGUCGUAUGGCAUCGAGGAAAGGUAUAUUUAUUUGAACAUUUUUAAAGACUUCCAUUAUUUCAUCAAAGUUAGAUUGUUUCUUGGAGUCCUGAAGUCUACUGGGAAAGGGAACCUUAGGUUUGUAUGUUUCUAUGGGUUCUUCCUUUUUUUUGGUUUGUCCUGUUCUUGACCCCUCUUUUGAAUAGGGUUCUUAUUGGGUUCAUGUUUAUUUUCUUUUACAUGUUCAGAAAGUUGGACUUUAUUGUCCACUUGCUUGCCAGACUUUCAGGUGGUAAUUGCCUGGACUUCAUGGGUCGAAUUUUCAUUAGAAUCGAUUUGAUACUGACCUCUCUGACCUUGUUGUCUACUAGGGUUAGGCACUGGUUGACUAGGUAGUUCACCUUUCUUCCUAUCCCCUAGAGAGUUUGCUAUUUAGCUUAGACUGACUUCAAGUUUUGCAAUUGCUUGCGCAUGAAAUUGGUUAGUCUGGGUUUGGGUCAUGUUGGUUUGUUGUUGCUGUUGGAUAAAAUCUUGUUGUUGUUUCAUCAUAUUAGCCAUCAUAGUUUCUAAUGGUGAAGAUUGUUGUGGGAUGGGGGUAUUGUACGGAGGUAAAGAUGGAACCAAAGGUUGGUUCAUUUGUGAUAGACCUAUCCUGAAAAAAUUCCUCUGAAAACCUGGUGGACCACCUUGAUGAUGAAUAGAUUUAUUUUGCUUGUAUGAGAAAUUUGGGUGGAACCUAUUAUCAGGGUGGUAGACUGGGCUGAAUGAAUUGGGAGUGGGCUUCUUGAAGGCACUAUAUGAAUUUAGAGCAUUUGCUUGCUCAGCCUUUAUGGUGGCCAGAUUAGGGCAGCACUCCACUAGAUGUUUCGGACUGUUACACAAAACAAAUAAACUAUGUGACUCGUGAUCCACUUUCAUGAUGGGAUUUAACUCUUUAUAUGAACUCGAGCUAGUGGAAACAGUGAAAGCAUCAAACUUUUUACUUAAGUUGUUCAUUCUAGUCACCAGAUUGGACAUGACAUUUUUUAGGUCUGGGUCUGCUUUCAUUUCAUAAUUAUCUGGUUUUCUAGAUCCGAACUCAUCUCUAUUUACUUCCUCACCAUAGCUACUCUAAUUUUGGGCAUUCUCGGCUAAGUUAACAAGAAAUUCAUAGGCUUGAUCCGGGGUUUGGUUCAUGAACCUACCCUUGUGCAUUGGCUCAAUCAUGUUUCUAUGUGCCGGAAGUAGUCNNNNNNNNNNNNNNNNNNNNUGCUUUCAUUUCAUAAUUAUCUGGUUUUCUAGAUCCGAACUCAUCUCUAUUUACUUCCUCACCAUAGCUACUCUAAUUUUGGGCAUUCUCGGCUAAGUUAACAAGAAAUUCAUAGGCUUGAUCCGGGGUUUGGUUCAUGAACCUACCCUUGUGCAUUGGCUCAAUCAUGUUUCUAUGUGCCGGAAGUAGUCCUUUAUAAAAGAAGUGGACCAGAUCAGCCUUAUCAAGCCCAUGGUGUGGGCAUUUGACCAACAAGUCAUGGAAUCGUUCCCAAAUUUGGAAGAAUUCCUCUUCAGAUUUUUCUCUGAAAGUUCUUAUGGCAUCCUUAAUUUUUUCUGUUUUAAUCAUGGGGUAAAAUUUUGCCAUGAACUUCCUAGAUAGUUGUUCCCAUGUUGUGAUGGAAUUUGGGGGCAGAGAAUAUAGCCAUGCCGCGGCUCGAUCCUCUAAGGUCAUUGGGAACAAUCUCAAUUUUACACUUUCUUCAUCUAAAUUUUGAUUUUUGAAAGUUUGACAAAUUGUCAUGAAUUUAUUUAGAUGAAUGUAGGGGUGUUCACUUUCAAACCCAUAGAAUUUGGAUAGCAUAUUUAUUGUCGCAGCCCGAAUUUUAAAUUGGGCUGCAUUAUUUAUUGGCAACACUAUACAUGUAGGUGGACUAGCGGAUGCAGGAGCGAAUAAUUCAUUCAGGGUUCUAAUAUGAUCACCCAUUGUAGAGAUUGGUGGUUCAUCAAUAAUUCGUCGGAUGUAACGAUAAUUUUUUCCAACCUUUAGGUUAAAUGGUGUUAAAUUACCCCUUAAUGAUCUUCUACCAUGCAUACAUUAUCUACAACUUAAUUAGGCUCGACUCUUAAACGAAAUCCUAAAAGAGAAGAAGAAGGGCUAGACCAAAAUGACCACAAUCAACACCACACAACGGAUUGGCUCUGUAAUCUUGAGAUUAAAGAAGGUUUAGUAGCUUUUAAUCUAGUUGCACAGAGAUUAAUCAAGUUAAAAAGUUUCUGAAAUUCUCUCCUAGAUUAGACAGCUCCUAAUCUCCUUUUCAGAUUAAGCUUGAGCUUACCAGUUAAGCGAUCCAGUAACCAGUGACCAGGAAAGUCCCGGGGUGUGUGGUAGUGCUAGAAGGGAUACACCGAUACCACAAUACCCGUAACAGUUUUCACUGUUGUAAAACUUUUAUAGACAUCACCAAUUACUAAAUUAUCACUGGUGGGGCUUUCAGCCGCUUCUUUCCAAGAGCCUAAUUGAGCUCGAAAAUCCUAAGGCCAACGUCUAAUUGAUUUUAAUUUAAUUUGGCUUAGGAUAUGUAUGCAAGGUGGUGAUUUUUGGGCUAAAGAUAGGUAAUGACUUUCUGACCUUAUCUUUUUAAUGGGUUUUGCCCUUAAAUUCUUUUAUGCAAAUGCUUAAUACUAAAUGCAGCAAAUAUUCAAUAAUUUUUUAAAGUUUAUGAAAUGUCAUUAGGUUGUACUAAUUAAAUGAGCAAGUAAAAAAAAAAUUUAUUUAAAUUUUUAUAUAGGAAUAACUUGAAUGUAAACUAAAAACUAAUCCUUAUGCGUCAGUCAAUUAUUAAUAGAGGUAUGAUAACCUCGGAGGAUUGCACCCUAUCAAUUAUUAGCAAAAAUAAUAAUUUUUUUUAAUAUUUUAACUUAAUUAUUUUUUUAACCCUUUUUUUUAAAAAUUCAAAUUUCGAAUUUCAGAAUUCAAAUUUUGAAUUUAAAUUUUUAAAUUUUAGAAUUUUUUCAAUUUUUUCAAUUUUUAAUUAUCUUUUUUUUUGAAUUUUUAAUUUUUUUUCACUUUUUUUUAAAAACUUUAAAUUUCGAUUUUCAAAUUUCAGAAUUUAAUAACUAUGAAAUUAUUAACUAAAAAUAAUCAAAACAAUGGAAAUUAAUAAAAAUAAAAAAAAACUUACUACCGGAGUGCGUUCACUCCGGACAUCCAAAAUUCGAUUUGAUCUUUGUGAUCGUUCUUGCUUCUCGAUUUGCCUCCCCGGCAACGAUGCCAAAAUUUUGUUGUUCGAUUGCUGUUUACCAAAAAUAUGCUAAACAGAUUGUUGUUAGAACCGACAAACAAAGUUUAAAUUAAUUUUACUCUUAUCUGUUCUACUCGAAGAAUAGUAUCGUAAGAGGUCGAUCCACAGGGAGGCGAUUGGAGUUGCAUAAAGAUUAAAACGAUCACUCGGAUUCAAAGCCGAUUCUUGAAUGAUAAAACAAAAACAUUACUUCGGGGAUGUUGAAUGAUUCUCUAGUCUACCAGAGAAUGUUUUCUAUUUAAAAUUAACUAAAAGAUAGGUACUUAGAUUUGAAAAGCAUUUAUAUAUUUAACUAAUCAAAGAAGAGCUUUGGCAUAGAAAAUGGAUGGAAGCUAAGAAGAUUGAAGCCUGGAACAUAAAUUGCAUAAAAGAAAAUUUCAUAUAUUGCAUGAAAGAAAAAUUAAAAGAUUGUAUAAAAAAAUAGAAAUUAAACUGAACCUAGAAUAAGGAUUGCAUGAAAGAGAAAUGAUAGAUUUUAUAAAAAUAAAUUGAUUACAAAGGUAGAAAUAAAGAUUAGUAGCCUGAUGCUGCCUUUCUUCUGCAAAUAAAAUAAAGAAAAGAAAUAACAAAAAUCAAAAAGAAAACUUCUCCUGUGGCAUGCUCGGUGGCUAUUUUUUUUAAUUUUCUCUUUCUUUCAAAACAGAGCAAUGCUCUAUUUCUUCUUUUUUUCUUUCUUUCUUCUCUCCCAAACCGAACCCUCUUCUCCCCUAUUCUUUGGCCCCCAACCGAGCACCACCCUCUUCCCCCUCUCUCCCCUGCCGAUGGCCCCUCCCUUUAUAGAUCAACCCCCUGGAGUGAGGAUGCUUGGAAUCACGGAAGGGGCGGACUCGGAGGCUUGACUGCCACGUGAUCCAUGGAGCUCGGACGUGGAGGAGGCUGGAUCGUCCGGGAUUGAUGGCGUGAAUAGCUGGAUUGAUGGCUCCGGAAGCUUCGUGUAUGGCUGGGACUCGGAGGAUGGGAUUCGGAUGAAAGGGCGCUGCGGGAUCUUUGCUGGGAGGAGGCGAUCGUCCGGGAUCGCAUGCGGAAGAGGAAGGAUGCCAUGGAAAUCACUGGGGUGCUGGAAAUGGAAGGGUUGCAUACGCACAUGGGAGGAUUUGCUGCUGUGAACGCGGAGGAUGAAUGGGAGAUUGCUUCUUAUUUCCUUCUUUCGGCUACGAAAAGUUAGGAGCGCAGGGAUAGAUCACGGAAGGAAGAAGAGGCGGACGCUAGGGAGGUGGAUCCGGACGAUGGCCGUUGGGAUUCCGGGAGAUUGAUAUGCGGACGGAAGAAGAUGAGAUGGGUUUCCUUCUUUGGGUGCCGGAUUGGAAGCGGGAGCUUGGAUGCUAGGGAUCCGGAAGAGGCUUGCCGACGGAAGGAGCUGGAUUACCGGCUACUGGGAUGCGGAUGGGCUGGCACGCGGACGCGGUUGGGACGCUGGCAGCGAUGCGGAAUGACGGGCUGAUUGCUGAGAUGGGGGGAACGUGCCAUGCAUGGGUUAAGUUGGUGCCAUACCAGAAUCAAUGGCUGAUACGCUGAUGCGCGCGAUUGGGAGUUGGAAUCACAGUUGUGCUGAGACAACGGUGGGAUGGCAGCCGGCAGUGACUCGACUUCAUCAGGGUGAUGGCCGUGGGAAUUAAGAGAAGUCAGAUGCAGCUGGGACUCGGUUGAACCUGGACAUGGAGCGUGGGAUGCUUGCACAAAUAAAAUAUUAAUUAGUUAAUUUUAUUUUUAAUGAUUAGCUAAAAUACUAAUUAAAAUGGUCUGACGAUUGUACUUUUGUGCUCUCAUCACUAGGUGCUGCCAUUUGAUUGGCCUUAUUCUUCUUCCUACAUAAGUCUCCUCUUAUGGUCGGCAUUGAUUUUGUAUGGAGGUACAGUCAUCGGGAUAAGAAGGUGUUGAGCAAGAAACUUUUAGUCUCUAAAUCAAGGUAAAACUCUAAUAUCUUAUUUAUACAUAGUCUCAAAUUAAGUAAGAUUAGGAAAUUAGGGCUAAUAUUAAUUUGGAUAUUAGAUUUAAAAUUAGGAACCUAGAAAUAAUUUAUUUAUUUCUUAUUCUGAUGGUUUAUCGAGGAUGAACUAGAUUUAUAUUGAUUAAUUGAAUGUGAUAAGUGUCGACCGGUAAAUAUUGUACUUGAGUUUAUUGCUAAUAAAGGUAGGUAGCCUAAUACUUCAUAGUAUUUUCUAUUCACAAUUUAUUAAAAAAAAUGAUCUUGGGAAAACUACAAUUAGUAUAUUAAAUUUGUUUCAUGAUCUCUGGUUUUUGUUUGAUAAAACGAGGCAAACAUAUUUUUAUGACUGUCCUAAUUAUUUUAUUUUUUUGGAAAUAAAACAAGGGUAUAGCGUGUAUUUUGAUAUUCUUGUAAAUAAGUUAUGAUCUCUACUUUCUCAGCAUGGCUAUGAUCUGGCCCUGCCUAUAAGGAUUGUAUAUUGGCCUUGUCAAUUUAUAAUCUAAAAAACUAGUUUCAAUACCAAGCCACUAGUGAUUAGAAUAGUAGUAUCUAUUAUCUGAUAUCUAGCACCUAGUGCAUCCAAUAUUUGUUGCAUCUAUUAUUUGACUCAUGCUAUUGAAUUACAUGGCUAUAGCUGAUAUUAGAUUUAGUAUCAAUUUAUAAAAAAUAUUUUUUUCAAAAAAUAUAUAUUAAAUCUUCGAGAUUUGGUGAAAAUAAAAUUUUUCUGCUCAGUUAAUAUCAUGUUUGGCAUGCUUAGACCCUAUUUUGGAGUGUUAAGUUAUUUACUAGGCUAUUUUAGCUCACUAUUUGUUUUUUCUAUUUUCAAAUACAGAAUCAUGAAUUACGCAAGGCUUGGUGAAGUGCACACAUAGAUUUGCUUUGGAGUUCCUAGUAGGUAUAGUUGUUUUUGGUUAUUUAUGUUUAGUUAGACUUCCUAUAUAUAUUAGCUUCAUGUUUGGUGAUUUAGAGAGUAUUAUUUAAUUUGGUUGGUAAUAAUGUGUUGAAGGAUUGACUCUUUAUUUUAAGUUAAUUGUUCGCUGAGGAUAUUCAUUAUCUUGUUUUUGGAGGAUUGAAUAAGCCUUGUUUUUAUAUUGAAUUUAUUGAGAUUUAAUUAAAUUUGUUAUUUAAGUAGCUUGCAUGGUUGUAAGAUCCACCAUGCAAGCAUGGGGAGCCUGUUACGCUCUUAGUUCGGGAGCGUGGCAUGCCAUCACUUGGACCAAAAUGUCAACACCUCCUUUCAUGGCACCAAGGUUUUGCAGAGUGAUAUAUGGCAGGUUGAAGACUCACCAUCUAUCCACAAGAGAAACCAGAGACCACUGGUCUUAUGAUCUUCUGUUAUAUUAAAUUAUGUUUAGUUGGAAGUCAGAAGUAUUAUCUUCUUAGGACUAUCAGACAAAUAUUUCAAAUUAGUUACGGCAAAGGCUCUUAUUCCAUCAUCUCUAAGGUCUUUUCAAGUACCCAAGUGGGAGAAGUAUGCCUUCAAUAAUGCUGUAUGAGCUGUAGGAAGCUUCCUAGUCUAAUAAACAACUGAUUAGUUUUAUAUUUGAGUAUGUAACUAGCGAUGUCAGAGGAAAGGGAGAAGAAAGAAUCAACAAGCAUAUCUUAGUUUCGUUCAAUGUUCCCAUUGACCAAUUGGUUGGAUAAUCACUACAAGAAAAUUGGGCAUUAGCGACGCUUUUUUUGGCCUUUAGCGACGCUUUUAAGCGUCGGUAAAAACCAUCCCGACGCUUUCCUAAGCGUCGGUAAAGCGUCGCCUAUGCUACAGUGGGGAAAAUAUUUUCCGACGUUUUCAAAAGCGUCGGAAAUUAGCGACGCUUUUUAGCGACGCUUUAAAGCGUCGUUAAAUGUGAUUUUAACGACGCUUUAAAGCGUCGUUAUAAUAUUAUUUUUUUAAAAUAAAAUUUCGUGAUUUUAACAACNNNNNNNNNNNNNNNNNNNNNNNNNNNNNNNNNNNNNNNNNNNNNNNNNNNNNNNNNUUUAAAAAUUUUUAAACUUUGUUUUCAAAAUCAAAAGUAUUGAGCAUCUAGAUGUUCAUAAGUAUAUCUUCCUCACUACAGAGAUGAAAGGUGACAUAAGAAAAGCCAUCAAAAUUGUUAAACUGUAUACAAAGAAUUGUUCACAGAGUUUGGUACCUCAAUUCAGGAUUAGGUAACUCUAAUGAUUCACAAAUUGCUGCACUAGCCCAACCUUUCUAAUUUAUUUAAGAGCUUCCCUGCAGUACCAUGAAGCUUGACACAGAGUGGCUGGACCAAUAGUUCAGAUCCAACAAUGGGAAAAGCAAAGAUAUAAAAGAGCUGGAGCAUCUAAAAAUUGUUUCUGUGAUUAAAAUCAAAUCUCACACACCAUUUAGUUAAAUGGUGUACAUUUCGCAUUCCCAUAGCUGUUUUUUGAAGUAUGGGGAGAUGAGGAUGUUAGAGUGGGCAUGCAAUGAGACUAGGAAGAAUGAAGUUGUCAAUAAGGUAAUNN